Molecule: ribosomal RNA, 301 nt
Filed under: uncultured bacterium
Lineage: Bacteria
Description: partial 16S ribosomal RNA
Rfam family: Bacterial small subunit ribosomal RNA
Source: RNAcentral
CAGCAGCCGCGGUAAUACGGAGGGUGCGAGCGUUAAUCGGAAUUACUGGGCGUAAAGCGUACGCAGGCGGUCUGUUAAGUCAGAUGUGAAAUCCCCGGGCUUAACCCGGGAACUGCAUUUGAAACUGGCAGGCUAGAGUCUCGUAGAGGGGGGUAGAAUUCCAGGUGUAGCGGUGAAAUGCGUAGAGAUCUGGAGGAAUACCGGUGGCGAAGGCGGCCCCCUGGACGAAGACUGACGCUCAGGUACGAAAGCGUGGGGAGCAAACAGGAUUAGAGACCCGCGUAGUCCCUGUCUCUUAUAC